This 810-nucleotide ribosomal RNA is filed under the name uncultured Planctomycetia bacterium. RNAcentral describes it as "bacterial SSU rRNA". It matches the Rfam family "Bacterial small subunit ribosomal RNA", at positions 58 to 901 of the family's 1533-position model. Lineage: Bacteria; Pseudomonadati; Planctomycetota; Planctomycetia. The record is from RNAcentral.
CAAGUCGGGGGUGCCAGCAAUGGCAACCGGCGUAAGGGGCAGUAAGGCGUGGGUACCUACCCCGGGGUCCGGGAUAGCCUUCAGAGAUGGAGGGUAAUACCGGAUGACCUCGGGAGAGCAAAGACUUGUCGCCCCGGGAGGGGCCCACGUGAUAUUAGCUAGUUGGCGGGGUAACGGCCCACCAAGGCUUAGAUGUCUAGCGGGUGUGAGAGCACGACCCGCGCCACUCGCACUGAGACACUGGCGAGACACCUACGGGUGGCUGCAGUCGAGGAUCUUCGGCAAUGGGGGCAACCCUGACCGAGCGAUGCCGCGUGCGCGAUGAAGGCCCUCGGGUUGUAAAGCGCUGUCGAGGGGGAGAAAAGCUCCGCAAGGGGCCUGAUCUAUCCCUGGAGGAAGCUCGGGCUAAGUUCGUGCCAGCAGCCGCGGUAAGACGAACCGAGCGAACGUUGUUCGGAAUCACUGGGCUUAAAGGGCGCGUAGGCGGGCCGCCGCGUCCGGGGUGAAAUCCUCCCGCUCAACGGGAGAACGGCCUCGGAUACGGGCGGCCUGGAGGGGGGUAGGGGCGUGCGGAACUGUGGGUGGAGCGGUGAAAUGCGUUGAUAUCCACAGGAACUCCGGUGGCGAAGGCGGCACGCUGGACCCCACCUGACGCUGAGGCGCGAAAGCCAGGGGAGCGAACGGGAUUAGAUACCCCGGUAGUCCUGGCCCUAAACGAUGGGUACUAGGUAGUAGACUUGACAUGGGUUUACUGCCGGAGCCAAAGUGCUAAGUACCCCGCCUGGGGAGUAUGGUCGCAAGGCUGAAACU